This 64-nucleotide transfer RNA is filed under the name Plagiodera versicolora (willow leaf beetle). RNAcentral's name for it is "tRNA-Ala". It matches the Rfam family "tRNA". Rfam says of the family: Transfer RNA (tRNA) molecules are approximately 80 nucleotides in length. Their secondary structure includes four short double-helical elements and three loops (D, anti-codon, and T loops). Lineage: Eukaryota; Metazoa; Arthropoda; Insecta; Coleoptera; Chrysomelidae. The record is from RNAcentral.
AGGAUUAUAGUUAAAUAUAACAUUUAAUUUGCAAUUAAAAAGUAUUGAGUUCUCAAUUAAUCUU